Ochotona princeps (American pika) is the source of this 362-nucleotide long non-coding RNA. RefSeq lists it as uncharacterized. Lineage: Eukaryota; Metazoa; Chordata; Mammalia; Lagomorpha; Ochotonidae. The transcript has 3 exons. The record is from RefSeq and is a predicted model, not a curated record.
GUCUGAUCACUGGAGACUUUACCUCAGUGGCUUCUGGGCAGUGGAUUUCAACUACAUGAAUUUUCCUCCUAAGAGACUUGUAUGUUGAUGAUCAUAAAUGGGCAUAUGUAACAAAUGCAAUUAUCAAGAGUAAGGGUCGCUGCACUCUGACACUAAUUCCAAUACAUUUUCCUGUAGAGCUAUAUAACAGGGAAGAGCAUGCACCAUUUAAAACCAACAUGCAUCCCUGGCAGUAGGAAAAAAACAAUUCUCACCUAGUGCAGAGAAUUCGAGCCAAGGAGCACUAAGGAAUCAUCUACAUUAACAAACACAAGAAAGAAUACUUUGAGCUUUUCCCUACUAAUGAGAAACCCUAACCCCAG